AGCAGCAGCCACGGGAAUACGUAGGGUGCAAGCGUUAAUCGGAAUUACUGGGCGUAAAGCGUGCGCAGGCGGUUUGUUAAGACAGAUGUGAAAUCCCCGGGCUCAACCUGGGAACUGCAUUUGUGACUGGCAAGCUAGAGUCUGGCAGAGGGGGGUGGAAUUCCGCGUGUAGCAGUGAAAUGCGUAGAUAUGCGGAGGAACACCGAUGGCGAAGGCAGCCCCCUGGGCCAACACUGACGCUCAUGCACGAAAGCGUGGGGAGCAAACAGGAUUAGAUACCCGAGUAGUCCCUGUCUCUUAUAC
This 303-nucleotide ribosomal RNA is filed under the name uncultured bacterium. RNAcentral's name for it is "partial 16S ribosomal RNA". It matches the Rfam family "Bacterial small subunit ribosomal RNA", at positions 507 to 807 of the family's 1533-position model. The record is from RNAcentral.